GAGACUGUCUCUUCGGAGACAUCCGAUAAAAUUGGAACGAUACAGAGAAGAUUAGCAUGGCCCCUGCGCAAGGAUGACACGCACAAAUCGAGAAAUGGUCCAAAUUUUUUUUCCCCCUAAUCUGGGCAUGGUUUGGGAUUUCCGCUUCUUCCUCUCCAUGUCCUUCUAAUUCGUUCGUUUUUUCCCCUCGAUUUCUUCGUUUAUCAGAUUAAAUAUGGCCAUGGCGGGACCCUGGGUAUGUUUUGGGAUUUCGUCUUCGUCUUCCUUAACCUCUCACAAGGUUGCAAAUGAUGAACUGGAUUGACUGCUUCAACAUUCAAACCUCUCUGCUGGUUUCUCUGACUGUAAUGAAGAAUUGAUCUUGCACAAUAUAGUAAGUAAUCUGGAAACUAAUUGCACAUCAAAGAAGUCCUUGAAGAAUGAUGCUGAAUCUUGUGGAGAUUUGAAAUUUAGAAAGCUGUGUGUGGAUAAGUUUCUGGCAGCAAGAUGGCGGUUGUUUCAAAUAUAUACUCAUUAGAUUUAUCAUGUAAUGAAAGAUCAGAAUGCCUGAUGGAUUCUUCAUAGCAACAGAGACCUUCAGUCAUUUGCUUAUGGUUGAUCCACAGCUGGUAUUUUUGUGCAAGGAAGUACAAUUUCUUCAUGCAUAAUAGAUCACUGCAAAUAAAGCUGCUUAUGUUUCUUAUGUGAAUCCGAGUCAUUCGGCAUUGACGAGACAAAGCUCGUUGUCCAUGUCCCAAGCAUGGUAGGCCUCACAUCUAGUUAUUCAAAGCAAUCUCUUCUGAAAACCUUUGUUUCUUGCAGAUGAACAAGAGAGCAUAUUCGAGGCAAGAUUUGCCCUAAAGAAUGGAUUCUUUGUCCGUGCUUAGUUCUAAUUGAGCACUCGACAGCACAAAAUGUUCUGUAAGUCAUGAUGAAACUCGAUUUACCUAUGUAAUUAAGUGCUGUUCAUUGGUGAAUUUUUCGAUACAUAUUAUGCCUGCAUGCUUUAUUAUUUGAA
Elaeis guineensis (African oil palm) is the source of this 997-nucleotide non-coding RNA. The record is from RefSeq and is a predicted model, not a curated record. NCBI's taxonomy places the organism in Eukaryota, Viridiplantae, Streptophyta, Magnoliopsida, Arecales, Arecaceae.